GACGAACGCUGGCGGCGUGCUUAACACAUGCAAGUCGAACGGAAAGGCCCUGCUUUUGUGGGGUGCUCGAGUGGCGAACGGGUGAGUAACACGUGAGUAACCUGCCCUUGACUUUGGGAUAACUUCAGGAAACUGGGGCUAAUACCGGAUAGGAGCUCCUGCUGCAUGGUGGGGGUUGGAAAGUUUCGGCGGUUGGGGAUGGACUCGCGGCUUAUCAGCUUGUUGGUGGGGUAGUGGCUUACCAAGGCUUUGACGGGUAGCCGGCCUGAGAGGGUGACCAGCCACAUUGGGCCUGAGAUACGGCCCAGACUCCUACGGGAGGCAGCAGUGGGGAAUAUUGCACAAUGGGCGGAAGCCUGAUGCAGCAACGCCGCGUGCGGGAUGACGGCCUUCGGGUUGUAAACCGCUUUCGCCUGUGACGAAGCGUGAGUGACGGUAAUGGGUAAAGAAGCACCGGCUAACUACGUG
RNAcentral lists this ribosomal RNA (468 nucleotides) under uncultured bacterium. Its description in RNAcentral is "partial 16S ribosomal RNA". It matches the Rfam family "Bacterial small subunit ribosomal RNA", at positions 28 to 507 of the family's 1533-position model. The record is from RNAcentral.